CUACGGGAGGCAGCAGUGAGGAAUAUUGGACAAUGGGCGAGAGCCUGAUCCAGCCAUGCCGCGUGCAGGAAGACUGCCCUAUGGGUUGUAAACUGCUUUUAUACAGGAAGAAUAAGCCUUACGUGUAAGGUGAUGACGGUACUGUAAGAAUAAGGACCGGCUAACUCCGUGCCAGCAGCCGCGGUAAUACGGAGGGUCCGAGCGUUAUCCGGAAUUAUUGGGUUUAAAGGGUCCGUAGGCGGAUGAUUAAGUCAGGGGUGAAAGUUUGCAGCUCAACUGUAAAAUUGCCUUUGAUACUGGUUAUCUUGAGUUGUAUUGAAGUAGGCGGAAUAUGUAGUGUAGCGGUGAAAUGCAUAGAUAUUACAUAGAACACCAAUUGCGAAGGCAGCUUACUAAGUACUAACUGACGCUGAUGGACGAAAGCGUGGGUAGCGAACAGGAUUAGAUACCCUGGUAGUCCACGCCGUAAACGAUGGAUACUAGCUGUUCGGGACCUUGAGUUCUGAGCGGCUAAGCGAAAGUGAUAAGUAUCCCACCUGGGGAGUACGUUCGCAAGAAUGAAACUCAAAGGAAUUGACGGA
Molecule: ribosomal RNA, 581 nt
Filed under: uncultured bacterium
Lineage: Bacteria
Description: bacterial SSU rRNA
Rfam family: Bacterial small subunit ribosomal RNA
Source: RNAcentral